UGGUUGUCUUGGUUUGAAAGACUGUGGAUAAGUGACGUAGUUCUUCAUUGCCUCUCCAGUUAACUCUGCCUUACCCACAGGCAGAUUUAAGACCAAGGCUGGCACACUGCCUGCAGGCUAUGUAUUGUCUGUGGCUUCCUAACAACAGAGCUCUAACAACAGAGCUGGUGGCUGCGGGGAAGACCACACAGACCCCGCAGCCUGCAGUGGUUCCCCUCUGGACCUUUCACGGACCCCUCCUGAGACUCCUUAGACAGUGGGUUGUGAGCAGGAGACCCACGGUAAAGAUGGUGAACAAUCCCUGCCUGCUUCCCUAUGGCAAGGCCCUCUACAGCUACGAGGGGAAGGAACCUGGCGACCUCAAGUUCAACAAGGGGGACAUCAUCGUCCUGCGGCGCAAGGUGGAUGAACAGUGGUACCAUGGCGAGCUGCACGGCACACAGGGCUUCCUCCCAGCCAGCUAUAUCCAGUGCAUCCAGCCCUUGCCACAUGCCCCGCCCCAGGGAAAAGCACUUUAUGAUUUCGAGAUGAAGGACAAAGACCAAGACAAGGACUGUCUGACCUUCACCAAGGUAAGGUGGGCUCUGGGGUGGGUCCCGCCAGCCCGUGCAGCCUCUGUCCACCCAGGGCUCUUCCCAGCCACAGGCCUGCAGCCAGCCAGUGUCUUUCCUCAGAUUCUGAAUCCUGGCUCCUCCCAGAACCCUGAGCAAAUGACCCAGCAGCCUCCCUCCCUGUGCCUCCAUGAAUGGGGUGGUGGUUUUUUUGAUUGAAUGCUAUGGAGGGCAGCAGCCUGAC
Molecule: long non-coding RNA, 795 nt
Filed under: Rhinopithecus bieti (black snub-nosed monkey)
Lineage: Eukaryota; Metazoa; Chordata; Mammalia; Primates; Cercopithecidae
Description: lncRNA (ENSRBIG00000045821.1)
Source: RNAcentral